UACGUAGGUGGCAAGCGUUGUCCGGAUUUACUGGGCGUAAAGCGUGGGCAGGCGGACGCUUAAGUAGGAAGUGAAAGGUUGGGGCUCAACCCUAACACUGCUCCCUAUACUGGGUGUCUUGAGUGGUGGAGAGGAAAGCGGAACUACACGUGUAGCGGUGAAAUGCGUUGAGAUGUGUAGGAACACCGAUGGCGAAAGCAGCUUUCUGGACACAAACUGACGCUCAUCCACGAAAGCCAAGGUAGCGAACAGG
This 253-nucleotide ribosomal RNA is filed under the name uncultured bacterium. RNAcentral's name for it is "partial 16S ribosomal RNA". It matches the Rfam family "Bacterial small subunit ribosomal RNA", at positions 524 to 776 of the family's 1533-position model. The record is from RNAcentral.